AGAUUAUCUGUGCUAAGGUAGCAUAAUAACUUGCUCUUUAAUUAAGAGAUAGAAUGAACGGUUAAACAUUUUAAAAUAAGUCUCUUAAGAAAAAAUUAAUCUUAGAAUAAAGUUAAAACUCUUUAAUAAUAAAGCAAGACGAUAAGACCCUGAUAAACUAUUUUUUUAGUUGGGGAAACAUUUUAAAAAAAAUUUAAUAUAAUCAAUACAAAACUAUAAAAUAAAAUAAAGAAAAGUUACUACAGGGAUAACAGCGCUAUCUCCCUUUAAAGAUCUCAUUAAAAGGGAGGCUUACGACCUCGAUGUUGAAUUAGGUAACCUAAAAUAAGCAAAAAUAUUUAAAGGAGGUCUGUUCGACCAUUAAACACCUAC
Molecule: ribosomal RNA, 372 nt
Filed under: Micropholcus piaui
Lineage: Eukaryota; Metazoa; Arthropoda; Arachnida; Araneae; Pholcidae
Description: partial 16S ribosomal RNA
Rfam family: Archaeal large subunit ribosomal RNA
Source: RNAcentral